This 236-nucleotide ribosomal RNA is filed under the name uncultured bacterium. Its description in RNAcentral is "partial 16S ribosomal RNA". It matches the Rfam family "Bacterial small subunit ribosomal RNA", at positions 524 to 757 of the family's 1533-position model. The record is from RNAcentral.
GACAGAGGGUGCAAACGUUGCUCGGAAUUACUGGGCGUAAAGCGCGUGUAGGCGGACCAGCAAGUCGGACGUGAAAUCCCUGAGCUCAACUCAGGAACUGCAUCCCGAAACUGCUGGUCUGGAGUGGUGGAGAGGGAAGCAGAAUUCCUGGUGUAGCGGUGAAAUGCGUAGAUAUCAGGAGGAACACCGGCGGUGUAGACGGCUUUCUGGGACCGUAGCUGACGCUGAGACACGAA